AUCAAGACCAUUCAAGCUUGAACAUCGGGAGAAGUUGGCCUCCACAGAAAAGAAUGCUUCAUUGGUUGCAGCACUUGAACAACAUGUGAGAAAACCCAGGAAAAGCUGUCCGACAGGGGAAAGUCAAAAGUUGUAUCUGUUGAUAUGCAAGAAUGAACUGGUGUGUACUUCCUCUUCAUCAUCGAGGUCACUCGCAGGAUUUUCGUCC
This is a non-coding RNA of Momordica charantia (bitter melon), 208 nucleotides long. Lineage: Eukaryota; Viridiplantae; Streptophyta; Magnoliopsida; Cucurbitales; Cucurbitaceae. The record is from RefSeq and is a predicted model, not a curated record.